UUUUUGUUUGACUGUGUGUAGAGAGAGAGAAAGAGAGCGCGCGCGAGAUCGAGAUCCAUGGCGGAGGGGGUGCUUGCUUCCAGCAUCGUGAAGGCGGUGCUAGCGAAGUUCGGGUCCUCGGUUUGGGGAGAGCUGGCGCUCCUGAGGAGCUUCAGGACUGACCUGAAGGCCAUGGAGGACGAGUUCGCCACCAUCCGGAGCGUGCUUGCGGACGCUGAGGUGCGCGGCGGCAGCGGCGACAGCGCCGUCCGCGACUGGCUGCGCAGGCUCAAGAACCUCGCCCACGACAUCGACGACUUCCUCGACGCCUGCCACUCCGACCUGCGCGCUGGCCGCCGCCGCCGGAGCCGGGGCAGCCCGGCGUGCGGCUCCACGGCCACCUGCAUCGUCAGCUCCGUCGUCAUGGCGCACAGGCUGAGGUCCCUGAGGCGCAAGCUGGACGCCGUCGCCUCGGGGAGGGACAGGCUGCGCUUGAAUCCCAACGUUUCUCCGCCGGCGCACCCGGUCGCUCCCCCGAAGCGGGAGACCAUCUCAAAGGUCGACGAGGCCAAGACGGUGGGGAGGGCCGCGGACAAAGAGAAGCUCAUGAAGCUGGUCCUCGACGCGGCGAGCGAGGAGGACGUGUCCGUGAUCCCCAUCGUCGGCUUCGGCGGCCUCGGCAAGACGACGCUGGCGCAGCUGGUGUUCAACGACCGGAGGGCCAACGACGAGGUGUUCGACCUCCGGAUCUGGGUCUCCAUGUCCGUGGAUUUCAGCCUCAGAAGGCUCAUCCAGCCGAUUGUGAGCGCGACCAAGCUGAAGCGCGAUCUAACCAGCCUGGAGGCCAUCGCAAACUUCUUGUCCGAGACGUUCACGGGGAAGAAGUACCUGCUGGUUCUCGAUGAUGUGUGGAGCGAGAGCCAGGAGGAGUGGGAGCGGCUGAAGCUUCUCCUCAAGGAUGGCAAGCGAGGCAGCAAGAUCAUGGUGACCACACGGAGCCGCAAGGUCGGCAUGAUGGUGCGCACCGUGCCGCCAUUCGUUCUCGAAGGCCUCUCUGAUGAUGAUUGUUGGGAGCUGUUCAAGGGAAAGGCUUUUGAGGAAGGGGAGGAGCAUAUGCAUCCCAAGCUAGUCAAGUUAGGGAAGGGGAUUGUCCAGAAAUGCGGCGGCGUGCCGUUGGCCGCCAAGGCUCUUGGGAGCAUGCUGCGGUUCAAGAGGAACGAGGAAUCAUGGAUUGCUGUCAAGGACAGUGAGAUAUGGCAGCUGGAUAAGGAGGACACAAUUUUGCCGUCUCUCAAGCUCACCUAUGACCAAAUGCCACCUGGUCUGAAGCAGUGCUUUGCAUAUUGUGCAUCAUUUCCUAGAAACUAUGAGAUUGACAGGGACAAGCUUAUUCAGCGAUGGAUUGCUCUUGGUUUCAUUGAACCCACAAAGUAUGGCUGCCAAUCGGUUUUCGAUCAAGCCAACGACUAUUUCGAGCACUUGCUGUGGAUGUCUUUCCUUCAAGAAGUAGUGGAGCACGAUUUGUCAAAGAAAGAAUUAGAGGAAGAUCGCAAUGUUAAGUACAAGAUUCAUGACUUGGUGCAUGACCUUGCUCAGUCUGUUGCCGGGGAUGAAGUCCAGAUCAUCAACUCUAAGAAUGUCAAUGGGCGCGCCGAAGCAUGCUGCCACUAUGCAUCAUUGGCUGAUGACACGAGGGCCUCUAAAGUUCUCCGGAGCACGCUCCGUAAAGUCCGCGCGUUGCAUUCCUGGGGUCAUGCUCUUGAUGUCCAGUUUUCUUCACUCCAGCUGCUUGAGAGUACUAGAUUUGCGAGGCAGCCAAAUUACGGAGCUUCCCAAGUCAGUUGGCAGAUUAAAACACUUGAGGUACUUGGACGUCUCUUCAUCCCCUAUCACAAGUCUGCCCAAUUGCAUCAGUAACCUCCACAAUCUGCAAACACUUCAUUUGUCCAAUUGUGGCAAUCUAUAUGUGCUUCCCAUGUCAAUAUGCAGUCUUGAGAAUCUGGAAACCCUGAAUCUUUCCACUUGCCACUUUCAGACCUUGCCAGAUUCCAUAGGGCAUCUUCAAAACCUGCAAAAUCUUAACAUGUCAUUUUGCAGUUUCCUCUGUACAUUACCCAGCUCCAUCGGUGAACUCCAAAGUUUGCAAGACUUGAAUUUUAAAGGGUGUGUCAAUCUUAAGAUUCUGCCUGACACUAUGUGCAGACUGCAAAGUUUGCAUUUCUUGAACCUCUCACAGUGUGGAAUUCUCCGAGCACUGCCCAAAAAUAUUGGGAAUCUCUCAAAUUUGCUGCAUCUGAAUUUAUCGCAAUGCAGUGAUCUUGAGGCAAUCCCUGACUCGAUAGGCUGCAUUACAAGGCUGCAUACUCUGGACAUGUCUUACUGUAGCAGUUUGUCGGAAUUACCUCGAUCCGUUGGUGGCCUUCUGGAGCUUCAAACUCUCAUUCUAUCACAUCAUGCACGGAGUUUGGCAUUGCCCAUAGCAACCAGUCACCUACCAAACUUGCAGAUUUUGGAUCUCUCAUUGAAUAUUGGUCUGGAGGAAUUGCCUGAAUCAAUUGGUAAUCUUCAUAACUUGAAGGAGCUUAUUUUGUUCCAGUGCUGGAAUCUUCAUAAGCUACCUGAGUCUAUAGCAAACCUCAUGAUGCUGGAGAGGUUAAGCCUUGUUGGGUGUGCAGAUCUAGCCACGCUACCUGACGGCAUGACAACCAUCACUAAUCUGAAGCACCUACAAAAUGACCAGUGCCCAUCUUUGGAGAGACUACCUGAUGGAUUUGGGCAAUGGACUAAACUUGAAACAUUAUCCUUGCUCAUUAUAGGUGACACAUGCAGCAGUAUUGCGGAGCUAAAAGACCUUAUUCUUCUGAGUGGCUGUCUUAGAAUUGAAUGCCUCUCACACAAGAAGGAUUUGACUAUCGAUGCCAAGAGAGCAAACUUGAGGGAUAAGAGGAAACUAAGCAACUUGACUGUGUCAUGGACCAGUUCAUGCUCUUCUGAUGAGCUGAAGAACGUCGAAACAUUUCUUGAAGUUCUCUUGCCACCUGAAAACCUUGAGGUCCUUGAAAUAAAUGGCUACAUGGGCACUAAAUUUCCCAGCUGGAUGAUGGAGAGCAUGGAAUCCUGGCUUCCAAAUAUUACCUUCCUAAGUUUAGGCAACAUCCCUAACUGUAUAUGCCUCCCACCUCUUGGUCAUAUUCCCAAUCUCCAUUCUCUUGAGCUCCGCUGCAUUAGUGGUGUCCGUAGCAUUGGACCUGAAAUACUUGCCAAGGGACAGAAGAACACAUUGUACCAGUCACUCAAGGAACUCCAUUUUGAAGACAUGCCUGAUCUGGAGAUCUGGCCAACCUCAUUGGCAGGGGACAGUGAAGAGAGUCAACAACAGUAUUCAUGUUUCCAGUCCUUAAAACUGUCACUGCAAGUGGAUGUCCAAAGAUGAGACCAAGACCAUGCCUCCCAGAUGCUAUAGCAGAUUUGUCACUAUCCAACAGCAGUGAGAUGUUAUCAGUUGGUAGGGUGUUCGGGCCAUCAUCUUCCAAAUCGGCGUCACUUCUUAGGAGACUGUGGAUUAGAAAGUGCCAUGCAUCGUCGUGUGAUUGGAACUUACUGCGGCACAGGCCAAAACUUGAGGAUCUGACCAUUGAGUACUGUGAAAGGCUACGUGUUUUGCCAGAGGCCAUCAAGCACCUUAGCAUGGUCCGGAAGCUGAAGAUUGAUAAUUGCACUGAUUUGGAAGUCCUUCCAGAAUGGCUAGGUGAUCUCGUAGCACUUGAGCAUCUGGAGAUAAGCUGCUGCCGGAAGUUGGUCUCACUGCCAGAAGGUUUGCGCUCCUUAACUGCACUGGAGGAGUUGAUUGUCAGUGAUUGUGGCUCUGCACUGACUGAGAACUGCAGAAAAGGGACAGGCAAGGAUUGGUUCAAGAUCUGUCAUAUCCCAAGUAUCCUCAUCUCGUGACAGCAACAACGGAGGUCAUUCUUCAAGGAUUCUAGUGCAACACCUGUGCAUGAAUAGCAUACCUGAAUGAAAGUACUGUUUGUUACCUAUUCAAAAGGUAAACCAGCCUAGCAACAUGUCCCUUGCGUUCUUUGAAGGUUUGCUUGAUUGUAUCAUCCUAUUUGUACGCAAGAACAUUUUAGGGGUUGUUAGAUUGUAUCUGCUCCUGGUGCGGUUCAGACAAAUAAUAUCCAUGUUGAGAGCUAGUUAUAUUCAAAGGAGUGAAGCUCCAGCCAGGUCCUGCUCUGGUAUAAACUGGCCAGGAGUAUACGAUGUGCAUUAUAAAGUAAAAAGCCACAACUAAGUUAUGUCACUAAUGCAGACAACGACAUCAGCAAACACCAGAAUUUGGUUUAUUGCCACAACAUUAAACGGAAACUGCAAUAUGUUUAAACCCAGAAACAGAAGCAUAUAACUUCGUGGAGCUGCAAUUUUUAUAAUGGAAUCUUUUGAUAUUUUUCCAGCUUCAGUGGCUGCACAGUAGUUCCUAAUAGGCUGAAAGGGUACAUGUUUAUGGUCCAUUCAUUUGAGCUUCAUGCAUAACACUAGAAGGGUUGGGCGCGCUUCGCUGCGCCAUUGAUGUUGUUGAGAUUUCAUAAUUUUUUUAAUUUGGUUGGCGCAUGGGAGAAAUGAUGGCUGUGUUUUCUUUUCUUAUAAUUAGCACAGUCGCCUGCGCAAUGCGCGGGCACCAUCUUUAUCAAGUUAGAAAAAAAUUAUUAAAUUUUCUAAUGCGUAAUAGUUGUUUGUUAGUGUUAUGUUCUUUAAAGAAUACUACAAUUGGAAUUAUAUCGAAUUUAUUCUUCUUUACAACAUGCCUCAUAGUAGCUUGAAAAUUUAAGAGUAAUAUUCUUACUUUCCCUUUCACAACCGUCCAUUCUGAUUUCUUUAGAGGAAAGCAAAGGAUUAGGUAAAACUUUGGUGAAAAUGUAAACUUAAAAAUAAAGUAGGUCCUAAAGGAUAAAUCUUUGAUUUGCCUGAACCUAGAUAUAGAGCUACAGCAUUUUAAGAUAUGAUGAUAGAAAAGUUGAGCCAUAGCGUUAACUGCUUAGUAGUACAAUUACUGUUGCCUUUUCCACUAAGCUAUUGAUACCCAUUCAAAAUUAGUUAAUAAAAGAAGAGAAAUAACGCCCAAUGCUCGAUGCCCUACGUGUGGGCUAUGGGCAUGCCUGUGAGGACGCUCUGCAUAUUUUCAUCCUAUGUUCGCAUGCUGACAUGGUUUGACAACGUGUUGGCAUCAGUCCACCUCACUACAUCGAUGAGCUUUGGGUGUGCGAGAGUCUGCCUUGAAUCGAUCUGUCCAUAUGGUCCGCGGUGCUUCUCAUCAUCCGUUGGAAGAUAUGGGCGUCCUGAAAUGCUAUGCCGUUCAACAAAAUUGACCACCAUAGCUCCAUCACUCUUAGACUGAUUGUUGAGGACAUGCCUCUUUGGAGUCCCGGGCUUAAAAAGCAGGCUCAAAAGGGGUUGCCUUCUCAUGUCGGUCAUAGUACCUCUCC
RNAcentral lists this ribosomal RNA (5459 nucleotides) under Triticum aestivum (bread wheat). Its description in RNAcentral is "partial small subunit ribosomal RNA". The record is from RNAcentral. Lineage: Eukaryota; Viridiplantae; Streptophyta; Magnoliopsida; Poales; Poaceae.